AUGUUGAUUUCAGUUAAACUACAACAUUUACUCCAAGCAAAUACUCUUAAGAAACAAUACAAGUACUCCUACAGUACUGAAAGUACUCCUGUAUGGAGUAGUGCAACCGAGUGGUCUUUACCAUGCUCGAAUCGACGAGUGGUAGUGGCAGCAGCAGCCGCAUUGUCCAGGAGCAGCAGCAGCCUUUCCAAUCUACUCCCGCGGCAGAGAGCAGUUCUUGACCACAGUACAUCUACACCCAUAUUCCAUCCACAUCAACAAUCACAAUCACAAUCAGCUCCAGAAUCUCUCCUUGCCUUUCCCCGAAUCCUAGGCUCCAGAGAUUGGAAAGGUGUGGGGAAAAUUAAGGAUGAUAACCUUGUAGGUCAAUCAUGGGGAGCUCGACUUCGCGGCUUUCCUGGGCGCAGGUGA
RNAcentral lists this ribosomal RNA (411 nucleotides) under Triticum aestivum (bread wheat). RNAcentral's name for it is "partial small subunit ribosomal RNA". Lineage: Eukaryota; Viridiplantae; Streptophyta; Magnoliopsida; Poales; Poaceae. The record is from RNAcentral.